CAACUUGAAUACUUUCCUAUGACUCCAAGAAAUGGUGACAGAACGCUAAAUUCAGUAAGUAAACCCACCUGUUAAAGAAGUAAUGCUGUGGAUUAGAGAAUAGGAUUAGAAAAUGAUAAAAAGAAGAGACAGGGGUUUGGAACUUUGGCCUGGAAAAUAAAAAUUAGUAGAAUGACCAUAAAGACUGGGAAAAGGGAAAGAAAAGAGCAGGCAAGGAGGAAAAUCAAGAUAAAAAAUAAUGCUAAGCUUGGGCAUCAAGAAGGUAAUUUUCAAAAAGUUUUAUUUAAUCUUUCAAGAAAUGUUUAUUGAGCUUUCCAAGUAUCAGGCCUUACUUUAGGUAUUUAAGUUGUAGUUGCUUUCAAAAACUCUCUUUCUUCAUAGAGCUUACAUUCUAGGCUGGGGAAUUCAGGCAAUAAAUAGGAUAAGCAAGUAAAAUGUAUGGUAUGUUGGAUAAUGAUAAGUGGUUAGCAGAGGAAUGAAGUGGGGUCGUGUGGGUAGAGCAUGUAACAUCAGGUGGACUGGGCCAGGAAGACUUUACCGAGUAAGGAUCUGAAGAAAGUGAAGUGAAUAAGCUAUGGUUAUUUUGCUUCCUAGUUCAUGGGGGAAAUGAAAGCACUCAGAAGAACAGUCCAGGCAGGGAGACUAGCAAGUUCAAAGCUUCAUAGAUGGGAGCAUGCCUGAUAUAUUCAAGGAAAGGCUAGGAAACCAGUAAAGCUACAAUGGGAUAAAUGAAGAGGAGGAGAGAAGGAGGGGAGAUGACAAAAAAGACUUUGGAAGAUGUUAAGCAGAGAGUGCCAUAUGACAUACUUGAAUAUGAUAAUUUUAUUGCUGUUUCAACAGAAUCUAAAAAAGAGCAAGGACAGAAAAAGGAAGAGCAGCAAGGAUGCUACUGCACCAACCCAGGUCUAAAAGAAUGGGACUUGAUCCUCUUGACACCAUUUGGAAGAUCAUGUUUAGAAGAACUACAAAAACUAUGCUGGGCUUGUACAUGUCUCAGGACAUAAAUAUGGUUUUCAUAAAGCCCAGAUUGUAUUCCAAAAUAGCCCAUAAGUCCAACAACAGGUGUUAUAUAUUGUACCCUUUUUAAGCACUUUACUUUGAAGAGGGAUACAAAUGAGAGCUUCUGAUGAGAUGACUAGGGAUCUACUGGGCCAGCAUGUCUUGAAGAUGGAGCUUGCUCAUGUGAAUGGCUCAGCAGAUGCAGUGAACUCACAUCCCACUGGAGGCCAUCGCAUGGAGGGGGGUAGCUGUGCCAAUGUUCAUGUGAAGAGGACACUGGGAAUUGAAGGAGGGAUCGAACUCGGGAACUUGUGCUUGCGAGGCAGGCGGCGGAAUCGCUGAGCUAAAUCCCUGGCCCCAUGCAAGUAAUUUUUGCACAUAUCUCAGUUCUUCAGGAACCAGAGAAAGCUUUGUGGUGUUCUUCAAACCAGAAAUUGCUCUACUCCAAAUCCAGAGAAGUCUUUUGGAAUCCCCUUUGCUACAACAACCUUGGAGGGAAGAAAACACGGUUUCUUAGAUUGUCUAUCCAAGGAACACACACCAGCCUUUUCACAGAAAACUGGCAGCUAAUCAAAAUAUACUGUUAGAGGUACAAGUGGUUCAAAAAGACUGAAGACCUAAAAGUUUAAACUUUUUUCUGACUUCCCUGACAAGGGCACUUUGCAGCCCAAGAUCUUGCUUCUCAGCACCUAGCACAGUUUGCCCCCAUGUUUUAGAUUGGUCUUUCUCCUCUAGAAGACUCCAGGAGGGCUGGUGCCCUGACAUAGGCUGAGUGCUCAGAAUUUGUUCAGUGAAUCAACAAAUGUUGAGCAGUUGCUGACAUGGAGGCUGAGAAUUCUCUACAAUUAGCAGAUCAGAUUUGAUAAAAGGAAAUGACCAGUCUGAU
Long non-coding RNA from Heterocephalus glaber (naked mole-rat), 1885 nucleotides. The record is from Ensembl. NCBI's taxonomy places the organism in Eukaryota, Metazoa, Chordata, Mammalia, Rodentia, Bathyergidae.